Molecule: microRNA precursor, 84 nt
Filed under: Bombyx mori (domestic silkworm)
Lineage: Eukaryota; Metazoa; Arthropoda; Insecta; Lepidoptera; Bombycidae
Description: mir-2807 microRNA precursor family
Rfam family: mir-2807 microRNA precursor family
Source: Rfam by way of RNAcentral
UUAAUUCAUAUUUGUAUGGAAUGGGAUCGUUUGCCUACGUUUACUGUUUGGGGCGCUGCUCCAACUGCAUACAAAAUUGGGUUA